CUCAGAUUGAACGCUGGCGGCAGGCCUAACACAUGCAAGUCGAGCGGAAACGAGUUAUCUGAACCUUCGGGGAACGAUAACGGCGUCGAGCGGCGGACGGGUGAGUAAUGCCUAGGAAAUUGCCCUGAUGUGGGGGAUAACCAUUGGAAACGAUGGCUAAUACCGCAUGAUGCCUACGGGCCAAAGAGGGGGACCUUCGGGCCUCUCGCGUCAGGAUAUGCCUAGGUGGGAUUAGCUAGUUGGUGAGGUAAGGGCUCACCAAGGCGACGAUCCCUAGCUGGUCUGAGAGGAUGAUCAGCCACACUGGAACUGAGACACGGUCCAGACUCCUACGGGAGGCAGCAGUGGGGAAUAUUGCACAAUGGGCGCAAGCCUGAUGCAGCCAUGCCGCGUGUAUGAAGAAGGCCUUCGGGUUGUAAAGUACUUUCAGUCGUGAGGAAGGUGGUGUAGUUAAUAGCGGCAUUAUUUGACGUUAGCGACAGAAGAAGCACCGGCUAACUCCGUGCCAGCAGCCGCGGUAAUACGGAGGGUGCGAGCGUUAAUCGGAAUUACUGGGCGUAAAGCGCAUGCAGGUGGUUUGUUAAGUCAGAUGUGAAAGCCCGGGGCUCAACCUCGGAAUAGCAUUUGAAACUGGCAGACUAGAGUACUGUAGAGGGGGGUAGAAUUUCAGGUGUAGCGGUGAAAUGCGUAGAGAUCUGAAGGAAUACCGGUGGCGAAGGCGGCCCCCUGGACAGAUACUGACACUCAGAUGCGAAAGCGUGGGGAGCAAACAGGAUUAGAUACCCUGGUAGUCCACGCCGUAAACGAUGUCUACUUGGAGGUUGUGGCCUUGAGCCGUGGCUUUCGGAGCUAACGCGUUAAGUAGACCGCCUGGGGAGUACGGUCGCAAGAUUAAAACUCAAAUGAAUUGACGGGGGCCCGCACAAGCGGUGGAGCAUGUGGUUUAAUUCGAUGCAACGCGAAGAACCUUACCUACUCUUGACAUCCAGAGAACUUUCCAGAGAUGGAUUGGUGCCUUCGGGAACUC
RNAcentral lists this ribosomal RNA (1027 nucleotides) under Vibrio owensii. RNAcentral's name for it is "bacterial SSU rRNA". It matches the Rfam family "Bacterial small subunit ribosomal RNA", at positions 23 to 1029 of the family's 1533-position model. The record is from RNAcentral. Lineage: Bacteria; Pseudomonadati; Pseudomonadota; Gammaproteobacteria; Vibrionales; Vibrionaceae.